RNAcentral lists this ribosomal RNA (392 nucleotides) under uncultured bacterium. RNAcentral describes it as "partial 16S ribosomal RNA". It matches the Rfam family "Bacterial small subunit ribosomal RNA", at positions 523 to 918 of the family's 1533-position model. The record is from RNAcentral.
ACACGUAGGGGCCUGACGUUGUUCGGAAUCAUUGGGCGUAAAGGGCGCGCAGGCGGCCGUCCAAGUCCGGUGUUAAAUGGUCGGGCUCAACCCGAUCAUGCGCUGGAAACUGGGCGGCUGGAGUCCCGGAGGGGAUGCCGGAAUUCCAGGUGUAGGGGUGAAAUCUGUAGAUAUCUGGAAGAACACCGAUGGCGAAGGCAGGCAUCUGGCCGGAGACUGACGCUGAGGCGCGAAGGCGCGGGGAGCGAACACGUUUAGAUACCCUGGUAGUCCGCGCAGUAAACGAUGCGCACCAGGUGUCGGGCGGCAGCGCCCGGUACCGGAGCUAACGCGAUGAGUGCGCCGCCUGGGGAGUAUGCCCGCAAGGGUGAAACUCAAAGGAAUUGACGGGG